This 468-nucleotide long non-coding RNA is filed under the name Fukomys damarensis (Damara mole-rat). RNAcentral's name for it is "lncRNA (ENSFDAG00000024973.1)". Lineage: Eukaryota; Metazoa; Chordata; Mammalia; Rodentia; Bathyergidae. The record is from RNAcentral.
AUGGAAACUUUUUCAGAGAGGUGGCUACAACUUCAGAGUCUAGAUAAAGGGAAUGGAGAUUGGACUCAUCCCAGAGCUUUCAGAAUAAACCUGUUAUCAAAUAGGCAUCUUUCUGCUGGAUGGAGAGGGUCAAUCAUUAACUUUGCAAUGGCUUUGAACUCGCAGUUCCCAUUCGCAUCAGAAGGCCACCAGCUCUGUUGGAGUGGGCAGUUAACAAGGCAGAUUCCAAUUAUACUUGACAUCCAGCUGAGACAUCCAUCUUUUACCCACUUUCCUGAUCAAGGAUCGAACUCAGAUCCUUGUGCUUGCAAGGCAGGUGGCUGAUGGCUAAAAUUUUGAAUGUGCGGAGAGCAGCGCAGAGAGAUGGCUGUCGGGAGGCCCGGAUGUCCUGACGGAGACCCGGAUGCAAGGUAAGAAGGCAGGAUUGCUAAGUGUUCAUGUGGGAAGCUGGAGUGCAGUGAUCUUACU